AAACUUCUGUAUCCGUGGUGAGAUUUCGUCAGUGAUCAACGCGCUGUCGAUGACUGAUGCAACUCCACAGACAAGUGAAUCG
RNAcentral lists this microRNA precursor (82 nucleotides) under Trichobilharzia regenti. RNAcentral's name for it is "mir-3492 microRNA precursor family". It matches the Rfam family "mir-3492 microRNA precursor family". Lineage: Eukaryota; Metazoa; Platyhelminthes; Trematoda; Strigeidida; Schistosomatidae. The record is from Rfam by way of RNAcentral.